This 2328-nucleotide long non-coding RNA is filed under the name Anas platyrhynchos (mallard). Its description in RNAcentral is "lncRNA (ENSAPLG00020016740.1)". Lineage: Eukaryota; Metazoa; Chordata; Aves; Anseriformes; Anatidae. The record is from RNAcentral.
AUGAUCCCAGGAUCCCAAGACAGACAGCAGUGUUACUCAUGGCAAGGAUUAGGUAUUAACAGGAAAAGCACCUUCUGCCUUAACUUGUUUUUCAUCUGGAUAACUAAGAAAAUUUGUUACAGAUCCUGGUACACAUUAGCUUUUAAUGAUUUCUGUGCCUCACCUUGUUUAGAAAGGCAGGUUUGCUCCCAGUUGCAGCUGUGGACCCUGAGUUACACUGGGUCAAGCCAAGGUAGAUGCCUGCAAGUGGGGUCCUGUCAACACAGACGAAUUGGAGCUGAGUUAACCCGGUUGCCCUUCAUUGAUUACAAGCACCAGAUCUCUGUAAGGCCUGCUGGCCCUGCUGAGCUGAGCCAGUGCUCUGUUGGGGUGAGCUUGCAGCAGUUCAGCUGGAAGCAGAGCUGAACUUCUAGCUCCAGGAACAGCGACUGCCUGCACAGCAGAACAAGUAAAGUAAGAGGAAAGAUGAGACUGUGACUAAUGCUUACUUCAAGGUUUACACUUAAUUUUAAUUGAGUAUCUUGGCUUUACACCAAAAGGUCUUUUUAUAACUGUAACUCAGACCUCUUUUUGUAUGUAAUGGGAAAUGCCACAUAUCUUUGCAGCUAAUUUGUAGUUAACCAUACAUCUGCAUGAUAAAGUAAUCAUGGUAUUUUGAUGGAACUAAUUAAUACUGUGACAUCUCAUCCAAGUUGUGCUGCCAUCUUGGAUGUCACAUCAAGCUGGUGAUAACUUAGUGAAUACAUUCAAUCCAGUUAUAUACUUACUACCACUUCUUGUGCCAAGACUUUAAUGUGCUUCAGUGCAUGAAGGAAUUACACAACCAACUCCAGGAAUAUAUAUUCCAGCUCUCUGUUUUGUUUCAGCGAAAAAACAGGUAGUGAUUAUAUUAUAGCUUCAUAGCAGAUAUUUAUAAAUUUGCUAUAAACAAAUGCUGAUCUAAAGCACUGCAUACAGCUCUUAGGUAACUUAGUUAUUACAGAACUGAUAGGAAUAGUAACCAUUUUUUCCCAGUACCCCAACGACUACCUUUUAAUGACUGCAGGCUGAAAUAAAAUUAUACCUUGUCUGACAUAGCCUUAUUGUAAGGGGGAAAGUCAGGAAUAAGCCUAUUGUUACAACUCAGUGUAAAAGAUUUAUUUUGACUCAGUCAUGGUCCAAAGCCAAGUAAUUGGAGCUGUUUGCAUACAGUGGAUUGGAUACAAGUACACGCCCCUUUUCAAGAUUGGUAAUUUGUCUUUUUGAAUAGACACAAUUUCAGUUGAUAUCUGUUGUAGGUGUAAAUUGUAUCUACUGGACUUGUGUUUAUGGGGGAGGGAAGAAGAGGUUUAAAUCUUUAAGAAACUUUAUUUUUUUCUGCAGUGUUAAUUGUAUAUAUUGGCCAAAGUUUAUCCUGAUUUGAAUUGACACUUGGCUGCUCUAAUUCCACCAAGUCUUUUUAACAAUCUAAAUGGAAAAAGAAUCUGGGCCGCUGAUGAAAAAGCUUUGGCUUGUGACCUCCAUGUGAACCCAUGCUCAGAAAUUAGUUUUGGCCUGCGUGACUGAGUCUACAUCAAGGUCUUGUCUCAUUAAUACAUACAGCCAUAAUAACAAGCUGGUGUUUUUAGGAAGCAAUGAUCUAACAAAGCCAUUCUCUUUUUUAAUGUAUAUAUCUGUGAAAGUGAGCUAUUCUGUAUAUAUCUUAAAUUACAGAACGUAGCCUGAUUUAUUUUUUAAAUGAACUUUUCAGAAAUAAUCUCAUGAAAUUGUCAUGAUUUCCUGCAGCUGAGAACCCUUACCUUACUGUACUUUCACACAAGCCAGGAGAUAAAUCUGUCUCCUUCAUAAGGGGACAGAGCCUAGCAGCACCACCAGCCAUGGGGUAGACUGCUUUGAGCCAGCUGUUAAAGACUGAGAGAAAGUCAGAAGCCAAGGGAUCUGUUCAGUGCACACCAGUCAGUAACAUAUCCAUGUUCUUCACUAACAUCUGUGAAUUCAGUUUCACAAUUCCUUUGUGAGGUAGGAAACAACUACUCCCUGUCUUUGACUACUCCCUGUCUUGCAGAAAGAAGAAAGUGAGGCACAAGGAGAUUAAGCUGAUCUCCUUAGGUCCUAAUAGGAAGUCUGCAGUGAAGCUGACGAUGAAUUUAAUCCCCUGGUUUAGUCACGGGACAGCCGCCCUCUCUUUGCCUAGAAAGGCUGGGCGUGACAUUUUGGUGCAGCCUCCACCUCUGCAAUCAGAGAACAUCCUGGAAAGAAAGUACACUUACACUGGUGCAAGUGGUUUCACUUCACUGUCUUGUCUCUCUGAAUUUUAAAGAGCGGCUCAAACUGUACAGAUGUGCUGCA